GAUUUUGCUGUUGUUUCUAAUCCUGGAGGCUAUUGACCCUAGUGAAAAAUCAAUAGAAGUCCAGAAGAACUUAUCAGGCGAAAGCAUGUUCUGGAAUGAAUCUUGAAAACAUUCUAGGAAUUCCUCAUCAAGGGUACCGACCUCAGAGUUUUUUGAAGAGAUGACAAAGGUGGUGGACAGAGGAUGACAGUGUCGCUGGCAAGGCAGCAUUUAUUGCCCGUCCCUAAUUAUCCAGAGGACGGUUGAGAGUCAACCACAUUGCUGUGGGUCUGGAGUCACAUGCAGGCCAGACCAGG
Molecule: long non-coding RNA, 296 nt
Organism: Stegostoma tigrinum
Lineage: Eukaryota; Metazoa; Chordata; Chondrichthyes; Orectolobiformes; Stegostomatidae
Exons: 3
Source: RefSeq, a predicted model, not a curated record